GGGAGUAUAGCUCAGUGGUAGAGUGUGUGCUUAGCAUGUAUGAUGUCCUGGGUUCAGUCCCCAGUACCUCCA
RNAcentral lists this transfer RNA (72 nucleotides) under Camelus bactrianus (Bactrian camel). It matches the Rfam family "tRNA". From Rfam's summary of the family: Transfer RNA (tRNA) molecules are approximately 80 nucleotides in length. RNAcentral also lists the same sequence under 2 other names. Lineage: Eukaryota; Metazoa; Chordata; Mammalia; Artiodactyla; Camelidae. The record is from Rfam by way of RNAcentral.